Molecule: transfer RNA, 73 nt
Filed under: Medakamo hakoo
Lineage: Eukaryota; Viridiplantae; Chlorophyta; Trebouxiophyceae; Coccomyxaceae
Description: trnF-GAA
Rfam family: tRNA
About the family: Transfer RNA (tRNA) molecules are approximately 80 nucleotides in length.
Source: RNAcentral
GUCUAGAUAGCUCAGGUGGUAGAGCAAAGGACUGAAAAUCCUUGUGUCGGAGGUUCAAGUCCCCCUCUAGACA